This is a long non-coding RNA of Cimex lectularius (bed bug), 1034 nucleotides long. RefSeq lists it as uncharacterized. Lineage: Eukaryota; Metazoa; Arthropoda; Insecta; Hemiptera; Cimicidae. The record is from RefSeq and is a predicted model, not a curated record. The transcript is spliced from 3 exons.
UGCUCCGAAACACCUUCAAUUACUAAACUUUACAUUAAACAAACCGUUUCUCUUGAGGAAAAAUGGCGUUUUAAUACACCGAGGACCUGCGCAUUUGGACACUAUAAAUCUUUAAUUAAUCUCUAAAAAAUAUCGUAACGUUAAAAUAUUACCAGUUACUUUUUCACUUUAUACCAAGAAAAUUUUUUAUUUUACUUCUUUCUUGUAUUAUAUGUCUGGUGUAGAUAACAUCAAAGCUGAGAGAUUUAUGCGGUUGGGUGUAUUUAAUCAUAAACUCGCAGAAUAUUGGAAUUGUGCUCUGUUAGGUUCGUAUAAGGUUGCUACGAAGCCUGUCGCACUGAGUCCAUCACACUGCCUAUUGUCCACGGGCACGUAUGGGUUUUUUUUUUAUCAGCUUUUCAUCAUUCUCCAUAGCCUUGAUAGUGGCUUCUCAGUUAUAUUGAUUUCAGUUUUUCUUUGUGCGUGAGUAGAAACCUUUUCCUUGUGAGGCUUUUAUGAACUGAGGUUUUUUCUUCUAAGCAGGAAUAGACUGUUUGCAGCCACCCGAAAUAUUUUGAAACGAUUACAUUCGAAAACGUUCGAUCGCAGACUGCAAUGAAAUUGAGUUUUCGUCGGUCUUGAUGGAGAUCUGUAAAACUUUAGACGAAACUUUAUUAACAAAGUAUUGUAUUUUGCCGGUUCUGGGAUGUUGUUCCACUAGUUGAGUGUUUAAAACGAUCUGGAAAUUGCUUCUUUUUCAGAGUUUGAGCGAUUUAAGAACAUCUACUAAAGGGUAAAGCCGUUCUCCAAUGCCAAAUACUAUAAACAUAUAAGCAGAAAACGACAAGCAGAAACUGGUAAUGUUGAAUAAAAGUGAAUUAAUACUCGCUUCAAGAAAAUAAUUGAUAGCUUUGAAAAUCAUAGCGAUUUAAAUCAAAAGAUAAAUUGAAAUAUAGAAUCGAUGUUCAUUGAAAAUGUUGAUUAUUUUGUUAUCGACGAUGGAAAGGCUGAAGCCUCGAGUCGAUAAAAGUAGUAAAUAAACAAAGUCUAAACCG